CAAAAGCUUGGUCCUGGCUUUACUAUUAACUUUAAUUUAACUUACACAUGCAAGUAUCCGCAUCCCCGUGAAAAUGCCCUACAGUUCCCCUUAUCGGGAACAAGGAGCUGGCAUCAGGCACAACCUACACUAGCCCACGACGCCUUGCUUAGCCACACCCCCAAGGGAACUCAGCAGUGAUAAACAUUAAGCCAUAAGUGAAAACUUGACUUAAUUAAAGUAAAGAGGGCCGGUUAAUACUCGUGCCAGCCACCGCGGUUAAACGAGAGGCCCAAGUUAAUAGAUAUUCGGCGUAAAGCGUGGUUAGGACAAAUGUCUGCUAAAGCCAAAUAUCCUCAAAGUUGUCAUACGCUAUCGAGGACAAGAAGCCCAAUCACGAAGGUAGCUUUAUGAAGUCUGAACCCACGAAAGCUAUGGUACAAACUGGGAUUAGAUACCCCAUUAUG
Molecule: ribosomal RNA, 446 nt
Filed under: Capros aper (boarfish)
Lineage: Eukaryota; Metazoa; Chordata; Actinopteri; Caproiformes; Caproidae
Description: partial small subunit ribosomal RNA
Rfam family: Bacterial small subunit ribosomal RNA
Source: RNAcentral